This 605-nucleotide ribosomal RNA is filed under the name Trichosporon asahii. RNAcentral describes it as "eukaryotic LSU rRNA". It matches the Rfam family "Eukaryotic large subunit ribosomal RNA", at positions 54 to 648 of the family's 3401-position model. Lineage: Eukaryota; Fungi; Basidiomycota; Tremellomycetes; Trichosporonales; Trichosporonaceae. The record is from RNAcentral.
AGGAAAAGAAACUAACAAGGAUUCCCCUAGUAACGGCGAGUGAAGCGGGAAGAGCUCAAAUUUGAAAUCUGGCAGUCUUCGAUUGUCCGAGUUGUAAUCUAUAGAGGCGUUUUCCGUGCCGGACCGUGUCCAAGUCUCCUGGAAAGGAGUAUCAAAGAGGGUGAUAAUCCCGUACUUAACACGACCACCGGUGCUCUGUGAUACGUCUUCUACGAGUCGAGUUGUUUGGGAAUGCAGCUCAAAAUGGGUGGUGAAUUCCAUCUAAAGCUAAAUAUUGGCGAGAGACCGAUAGCGAACAAGUACCGUGAGGGAAAGAUGAAAAGCACUUUGGAAAGAGAGUUAAACAGUACGUGAAAUUGUUGAAAGGGAAACGAUUGAAGUCAGUCGUGUUCUUUGGAUUCAGCCAGUUCUGCUGGUCUACUUCCUUGGAACGGGUCAACAUCAGUUUUGUCCGGUGGAUAAAGGUAGUAGGAAUGUGACUUCUCCGGAAGUGUUAUAGCCUAUUAUCACAUACACUGGGUGAGACUGAGGACUGCAGCUCGCCUUUAUGGCCGGCCUUCGGGCACGUACGAGCUUAGGAUGUUGACUUAAUGGCUUUAAACGAC